CGUUAAAACACCGUUUCCUGUACGAUCACUGAAGUUAAGUAACAUCGUGCCUGGCCAGUACCUAGAUGGGUGACUGCUUGGGAAUACUGGGUGCAGUAAG
Non-coding RNA from Acanthosepion pharaonis, 100 nucleotides. The record is from the annotation of a GenBank genome assembly. Lineage: Eukaryota; Metazoa; Mollusca; Cephalopoda; Sepiida; Sepiidae.